This 233-nucleotide long non-coding RNA is filed under the name Carica papaya (papaya). RNAcentral's name for it is "long non-coding RNA (CPAP_LNC006728)". Lineage: Eukaryota; Viridiplantae; Streptophyta; Magnoliopsida; Brassicales; Caricaceae. The record is from RNAcentral.
GAACUUCAAGGUGCACUUUGAUUAUAUGGAUGGAGUAUCACAAAAAUAUGGGCCAAUACACUUAAGAGGAACUUCCAAGUUUAUAUCAAUAGAUGGAUCCAUAAAAAGAAGAGUCUUGGGCCAAACUUUGAAGGCCUUAAGAGGGGAAAAUUGAGAUCAUCAAGUUAAGGGAAGAUACAAUAAGAGUAAAACUGACCCUUAAAGAGUCUUACACCUCAAGGACUCUUAGCCAC